AAUAGCCCACUCACCAAAAUGGGCUAUAGAGACGAAUAGCCGAGAGCAGUGACGGUGAAGACGGUGGGUGGGUGCAUAAGAGUAGCAAUGGAGGUGGAAUCAAAGAAGGAGGAGGAGAAGAAGAAGAAGAGUAGCAGAGAAUUGGAGGCAACGAUCCUUGAGAAGGUUGGGAACGUCAUCGCCUUCAUCAAGGAAGCCAAACACGUUGACGAAGUCAUUUGUGCCCUCCACUCCCUCGUCAUCCUUCUCUUCCCUCCUCUCGACUCACAACAUGCCCUCUCAGGUAGCAUUGAUCAACAGUAUAGAGAUCAGGUGAUUAGUGCCAAAGUCCCUUCUGAACUGGAGAGGAGUGAAUGUUGGAGGGUAUUCUAUCAAGGUGCUGCAUUUCCUACUCUGGCUAGGGCUUUGUUAUAUGAUGUUGCUUCCAAUUGGCUAGCUUGUUUCCCCAUUUCUGCAAGGAAACAUGUCUAUGAUGUGUUCUUUGUCAAUGGGCAUACAAUGGAAGUUGUUCACACUGUAGUUCCUUCUCUAUUACAAAAUGGAAGUGGCAGUUUUGAUAUUAAGGCUGUGCGCUCAAAUGCUGAGAGACUGCUUGCACUUUGCUUACUUGAGAAUGACGGGGUACUCCAGAUGGCUCGAGCAUUUGGUGUUUCUUGUCAAUCUAAAGAUAAUAGCACUGAACAGCUUUACUCUAAAAUCUCUAGGGUGGCACAACUCAUUACAUCUAUUCCUGACAAGGCACAAUUGACAACCUCCAGUUCUCUUUCAUCUCACUUCUUUUUUAAGCAGAUUACCAUUCAACUUAUUGCUGGAGCAGAAGAAUGGGAUGUGAAUCUAAGCAGCAAAGAUGUUAUCUUCAACAAAAUGGGCUUGGAUGGUACCAUCCUAUUUGUUGGAGAAUCAUUUGCACGUAUUUGUCGACGAGGAUCUGCAGACGUGCUGUUAAGUCAAGUGAUCCCACAUAUUCUUAGACAUGUACGUAGCAUCCUAUUGUCAAAUGCUGAUGUGGUUGUUAGAAAAGUCUUUGAGACAAACCCUGGUUCUCAGUUUUGGUUGAAGUUGAUGGAGGCAAUUAAAGACCGCUAUGCUGUGGAAAGAUUGUCUGAACAGCUAUUACAUCAGUUAGCAGCUGAACGUGUAACUGAUGUUGAAGCUUACUGGAUUCUUUGGAUAUUGUUCCAUCAGAUUUAUGAACAUCAGACUCCUUUCAGGUCCAUGUUUGUUGAAAAAUUUCUACUCUGGAAAGUAUUUCCUGUCUGUUGCCUGAGGUGGAUCCUUCAAUUUGCUGUUCUUGAAUUACCUCCUGAUGCUGCUUUGCCCACAAAAGCACAUAAUUCUCGUCAUCUCUUAGACACAGCACAGCAUCUUGCAGUGGUAUGGUCCGAAAGAGAGUUUGUGCAAUCAACCCCAGUGGAGCAGCAAGCUUAUGUAACGGCAGCUCUAGGCCUUUCCCUAGAGAAGAUGUCAAAAGAAGAUUUAGAUGCAACCAAGGAUGUGAUGCGCUCAGUUCUUCAAGGAGUUAGCUGUAGGUUGGAGAACCCUGCCCAUUUGGUUCGAAGAAUGGCUAGCAGUAUUGCUUUAGUAUUUUCUAAAAUAAUUGAUCCUGAAAAUCCUUUGUAUCUUGAUGAUAGCUGCAGUGGAGAGAUCAUUGACUGGGAGUUUGGGUUAGCAACCCCUGUGAAAGGGAUGCUGACUACCUCACAAUGCAUAGAUAAGGAUAUUAACAAGGUAAAAACAUGUAGUGCCUUGUUAUCUGAAAAGGAAUUUAACAACACGGCCAACAGCCGGGUGCGCAAUAAUGACAAGGCUGGGAAGAGUAAAUUAUCUGAAUUUAAGUUGGUUGAUCCUGAUGAGAUUAUUGAUCCAGCUACAUUAAACAAGGAAUUAGUUUCUGGUGAAGAAGAAGAAGAAGAUGAUGAUGGUGCAAGUGAGAAUUCUGAUACUUCAAGUGACUCAUCUUUACAGCCGUAUGACUUGUCAGAUGAUGACACAGAUUUGAAAAGGAAAUUAUCACAUUUGGUUGAUGUUGUUGGAGCACUUAGAAAAUCUGAUGAUGCAGAUGGUGUUGAAAGGGCUCUUUAUGUUGCUGAAAAGCUUGUCCGUGCGUCGCCUGAUGAAUUAAGGUAUUUAGCAGGUGAUCUCGUAAGAACUCUUGUACAGGUUCGUUGCUCUGAUUCAACUAUAGAAGGGGAAGAAGAAUCAGCUGAAGAAAAGAGGCAAAAAGCGCUGGUCGCAUUGAUUGUCAUGUCUCCUUUCGAAUCUCUUGAUACCCUCAACAAACUAUUAUAUUCACCUCAUGUAGAUAUUGGCCAACGAAUCAUGAUGCUUGAUGUCAUGACAGAUGCAGCACUGGAACUUGCUGAUACUAAAAUUAUGAAACCAAAACAUCAGCCAAGGAAUCUCAUAUCAACCAUUUCAGAGACUCAACCAUGGUUUAUGCCCAGUAGCAUAGGGCCUCCUGGAGCUGGUCCCUGGAAAGAGAUCUCAGGCACAGAAGCUCCAUUGAAUUGGUCAUACUCCUAUGAGAGAGAAGUUCCACCUAGACCAGGUCAAAUCAAGCGAGGGAAGACACGCCGAUGGAGCUUCCGAUCAGAAAAUAUACAAGGACAUCAGAUGGAAUGGUCCCAGAAUAAGUUUCCUCAAUAUGCUGCAGCAUUUAUGCUUCCAGCUAUGCAGGGAUUUGAUAAGAAAAGGCAUGGCAUUGACUUGCUUGGUCGGGAUUUUAUUGUCCUGGGGAAACUCAUCUAUAUGCUUGGUGUUUGUAUGAAAUGCACAGCCAUGCAUCCAGAAGCAUCUGCCAUAGCUCCUGCCCUUAUUGAUAUGUUAAGCUCUAGGGAGAUAUGUCAACAUGCGGAAGCAUAUGUCAGAAGAUCUGUCCUUUUUGCAGCUUCUUGCAUAUUGGUUGCCCUUCAUCCCUCUUAUGUAGCAUCUUCGUUAAUAGAAGGGAGUCCUGAAAUUUCUAAAGGGCUCGAGUGGGUUCGCACAUGGGCACUUUGUGUAGCUGAGUCAGACACAGAUAGAGAGUGCUACACGCUGGCUGUAACAUGUCUCCAACUCCAUGCUGAGAUGGCCCUUCAAGCUUCUCGAGCUCUAGAGUCAGUAGAAAGCACAUCUAAGGCUAAGAGCAUUGAUAUGCCUUCCAAUCUGUUGAAGGGGAUAAUUAAAAUUCCUCAAUCAAAUGUGGAAUACUAAUUCAUCAUGCCCCUGCUGGAUGGCAUACUUUGGGUCCUGGUUUAACCCUCCAAGAAUUGGAAUGCUGACAGGAAGUGCAUCGUACAAUGGACCGACACUGCUAACUAUGUUUGCCUUGGAAACUUGGGAUUCUCUGCUCCUUGGGAGUUUUUUAGCAUAUGAACUUGAAACUUGGCUAAAGAGACAGUGCUGAAGACUUACAAGGAUCAAGCUAGAGAGAUUAUAGCAAUAUGUAUUGGUUAGGCAACUUUUGGAUCAUUCGGGUGUGCUAGUGAAAACUGACAAUGUGGUUCUUUUUCGGUUUCUCUUUUGUAACUCGCUUAUGGGCUUGAAUGCAAUAAUACUUCACGAUGUUGUAUAUAACUCUCACUCAUGAGCUAGUUAAUGUUUAAAACAUGUUCUUGCCUGAAAAUUUUCAGAUAAAGAAUGCCUUGUUUGUAUGGAUAACUUGGAAAGAAAUGCUUGAAAAGG
Non-coding RNA from Camellia sinensis, 3663 nucleotides. The record is from RefSeq and is a predicted model, not a curated record. Lineage: Eukaryota; Viridiplantae; Streptophyta; Magnoliopsida; Ericales; Theaceae.